ACUACGUGUGGCAGCAGUGAGGAAUAUUGGUCAAUGGGCGGAAGCCUGAACCAGCCAAGUAGCGUGCGGGAUGACGGCCCUACGGGUCGUAAACCGCUUUUGCACGGGGAUAACACCAUCCACUUGUGGAGGUCUGCAGGUACCGUGCGAAUAAGGGCCGGCUAAUUCCGUGCCAGCAGCCGCGGUAAUACGGAAGGCCCGAGCGUUAUCCGGAUUCAUUGGGCUUAAAGGGAGCGUAGGCGGGCGUUAAAGUCAGCUGUAAAAUCGUGCGGCUCAACCGCGCACCGCAGUUGAAACUGGCAGCCUUGAGUUCACAACAGGCAGGCGGAAUUCGUGGUGUAGCGGUGAAAUGCAUAGAUAUCACGAGGAACCCCGAUUGCGAAGGCAGCCUGCCGGGGUGCGACUGACGCUGAGGCUCGAAGGUGCGGGUAUCAAACAGGAUCAGAUACCCGUGUAGUC
This 459-nucleotide ribosomal RNA is filed under the name uncultured bacterium. Its description in RNAcentral is "partial 16S ribosomal RNA". It matches the Rfam family "Bacterial small subunit ribosomal RNA", at positions 337 to 795 of the family's 1533-position model. The record is from RNAcentral.